AACGCGAAGAACCUUACCUACCCUUGACAUCCCACGAAUCCUGCAGAGAUGCGGGAGUGCCGAAAGGAACGUGGAGACAGGUGCUGCAUGGCUGUCGUCAGCUCGUGUCGUGAGAUGUUGGGUUAAGUCCCGCAACGAGCGCAACCCUUAUCCCUAGUUGCCAUCGGGUCAAGCCGGGCACUCUAGUGAAACCGCCCCGGAUAACGGGGAGGAAGGUGGGGAUGACGUCAAGUCCUCAUGGCCUUUAUGUCCAGGGCUACACACGUGCUACAAUGGUCGGUACAAACCGUCGCAAACCCGCGAGGGGGAGCUAAUCGGAAAAAGCCGACCUCAGUUCGGAUUGGAGUCUGCAACUCGACUCCAUGAAGCUGGAAUCGCUAGUAAUCGCGGAUCAGAACGCCGCGGUGAAUACGUUCCCGGGCCUUGUACACACCGUAGAGAC
RNAcentral lists this ribosomal RNA (442 nucleotides) under uncultured bacterium. RNAcentral describes it as "bacterial SSU rRNA". It matches the Rfam family "Bacterial small subunit ribosomal RNA", at positions 958 to 1400 of the family's 1533-position model. The record is from RNAcentral.